GGGGUGGCUGUUGCCCUUCGCCCGGGACGUCCGCCUUUCCCAGGGGUCCACGGCGGGGCCCGGCCCCGUGCCUGCUCGACAGCCGAGGCUGGGUAAAAGGGCGAGCCCAGCCCGGUUGGAGGGCCCUGGGACGGGGCGGGGCGCUCCCCGGCCCCCGGGACGCUGGGGCCCGGCCAGGCUGCGGGAAGGGCGGGUACGGGGGCUGCAGCCCGGCCUCGGGGGUUCGCAGCGGUCCCUGCGUCCGGCAGGCUGACGAGUGCUGCGUCAGGCGCCGGUUGCUGUCGAUGCUGUUGACGAAGCAGCAGGACCGGAAUGGAGUCGCUUGUGCCAAGCCCACGUCAUCAAACGGGCGUAACAGCUGACAGAACCACAGUUCAGCCUCACCCAGGAACGCAAGCUCCACCCGGCAGCUGGGAGUCUCCUGGCUGAGUGAACUUUCUGAUAGGCCCUGGAAGGCGACCUUACCUGAAACCAGAUCCACUCUGCUAGUAACUUCUUGUGUCUCUUCCCUUUUCCAUGAAAACCUCCCAUUUUGUACAGCUCUCCAGAGCCCCUUUCUAUUUGCUAAGAUGACAGGUUGCCUCAUUCAGGAGUCAUUAAAUAAGGCCAAUAAAAGCUUUAAAACUUA
This is a long non-coding RNA of Neogale vison (American mink), 628 nucleotides long. RefSeq lists it as uncharacterized. The record is from RefSeq and is a predicted model, not a curated record. The transcript has 2 exons. Lineage: Eukaryota; Metazoa; Chordata; Mammalia; Carnivora; Mustelidae.